GCCGGAUGUGGUGGCGCAGGCCUGUAGUCCCAGCUACUCGGGGUCUAAGCGGGGAGGAUGACUUGAGCCCGGGAGUUCCAGUGCUCUGCGCUGACUGUUCGAUACACUACAUUCAGCACCCACACAGUGAUCUCCCAGGAGUGGGAGACCCCAGGUUGCUUAAUAAGGGUGAACUGGCCCAGGCUGGAAAUGGAGGAGGUCAAAACUCCUGUGCCGAUCGGCAGUGAGAUCGUGCCCGUGGAUAGCCACCACACUCCAGCCUGGGCAACGUCGCGAGUGAGCCCCCCAUCU
Molecule: signal recognition particle RNA, 291 nt
Filed under: Aotus nancymaae (Ma's night monkey)
Lineage: Eukaryota; Metazoa; Chordata; Mammalia; Primates; Aotidae
Description: Metazoan signal recognition particle RNA (ENSANAG00000005636.1)
Rfam family: Metazoan signal recognition particle RNA
About the family: The signal recognition particle (SRP) is a universally conserved ribonucleoprotein.
Source: Rfam by way of RNAcentral